AUAUCAAUAAGCGGAGGAAAAGAAACUAACAAGGAUUCCCCUAGUAACUGCGAGUGAAGCGGGAAAAGCUCAAAUUUGAAAUCUGGCAGUCUUUGACUUGUCCGAGUUGUAAUCUAGAGAAGUGUUACCUGUGCUGGACCGUGUAAAAGUCUCCUGGAAUGGAGCAUCAUAGAGGGUGAGAAUCCCGUCUUUGACAUGGACUGGUACCCAGCUUACGG
This 218-nucleotide ribosomal RNA is filed under the name uncultured Agaricales. RNAcentral's name for it is "partial large subunit ribosomal RNA". It matches the Rfam family "Eukaryotic large subunit ribosomal RNA", at positions 40 to 249 of the family's 3401-position model. Lineage: Eukaryota; Fungi; Basidiomycota; Agaricomycetes; Agaricales. The record is from RNAcentral.